Molecule: long non-coding RNA, 5472 nt
Organism: Betta splendens (Siamese fighting fish)
Lineage: Eukaryota; Metazoa; Chordata; Actinopteri; Anabantiformes; Osphronemidae
Exons: 3
Source: RefSeq, a predicted model, not a curated record
UCUAUAAUACAAAAUAACUAUCUAUUCUGAUAAUUGGUAAUAUUAUUGUAGUGUCUAGAGCAUAAAUCAGAAUCCUCAGGCUUCCGUGGGGUCGCCUUCAUCAAAACCAGUAAAGUGUAUUAUGCAUUUCAAGUUAGUAAUAUGGAUUUUCAUAUUUCAUGUGAUUACACUGCAUUCUCUCUUACCAUUAGACUCAACAAUGCACUGCACGUUUUUUUUUCUUCAGCCUUAAUGGAAAAUACCUUUACAGCCAGAAAAGCUGCUAUUGUAUGAUAAGCUACAAAUGUAGAGUCGUGUCUAAAAAUCCAUUUAGAAUUAAUAAUACCAGAACCGGUCUUGUUAAUGAAAAAGUGUAAUUUGUCUGAAGAGGCUCAGAUUCCGCUUUGAAAAGCAAGAUGUCACAGAGCUGGUGUAAAUGUAAGCUUUAAUGGACACAUUGACAGCGCUGCGGUAUUGUUCUUGACAGAGGAAAAUGAUGUGAAUAGCUUUGCUUGUCAUUGUUGUGAAACUAUUAAUACAUCUGUAAUUAUGGUGGGCAAAUUGUUGUUGUUUUUUUUGUGGCUCUGUGGUAUUUGAUAUGCUCAGCACAAUGAGGAGAUGAAUUAGGACUAAUAAACAGGUCUCAUGAUUCUGUCUCUAAUUGGAGGAUCAUUAUAUCUCUUCCAGAGAGAUGCCCACAGCUAAAGCCUUUAACAGCACUAUUUCAAACAGGACACAAAGGCCUUAAUGAAUACUCCUGUGACUUUGCACCAUCUCUCACAAAGGGAAGCACAUAUUCUCUUUUUGUCUUAUACAUAGUCUCCUGUAAUUGUUGGAAUGGGGUGUAAAACAGUCCUUCUUCCCUUGGAAAUCGCAAUAAUUACAGAGAUUGUUUUGAGGCCAAAGAGCUAAAAGAGCCUUUGAAAAUGUGUUUGUAACUUAUGAUGGCACUGGCACCAAACGGUACUUACCUUAGAUAAAUACUGGCAUCUGUGUGUAUGUGUGUGUGGGAGGAGGAAAGAAAAACGUGUGAUAUUGCCACGGUGUAGUGUCAAGUGUUUUACAAUGUCCUUACAAGCAUACUUACGCAAUACCAUUACAACACAAUAACGGAAAUACGGAGAGCGAAUGUAAUGCACGGUGAGGGAACAUGUUGAAAUCUCCUGGUGCCAUUUGCUCCCAUCAGUGUCGCUGAUAGAGUCAUUAGAGAGCUGCUGCAGCUCAGCGCCGGGGUCUCUCCGCUGAGAAUGGCCCCGUUGGACGGGGGAACAAGCUCCGCGUGGCUCCCGGGCCUCCGAGCACUCCACUCCAGCGAACAGGUCGCAGCCGCAGAAACGGGCCGGUGUUAACAAUGGAUAAUGGGAGAGUGGAUUGCAGUUAUCCGCCGCGUGAUUUAAAGCUUUUUACAGAGCGUUUUCCUCUGCGACCGCGGCGACAGCGAGGCUCUGGGAGUUUCUCGGGGCGCCACGCGCGACCCCCAUGCUAAUGCAGGAGCCUCCUCUUUAUCUGUUGGGGGCCGACGUGAUCACCCGUGGAACGGCCGGAGAAGCAAAAGUGCUGAAAUCGUCGAAACGGUGUGCCUGGUUGAUGUCCUCCUCCUUUGGUGGGGAACAUAUGUCCACAGCAGCUGUGCCACCGUGAAUAGGCAGUGAUUGUGCGCGAGCUAACUGCAUUCCUGGGAGCCAGGCCAAGUCUGAGUGGAAGGCCAAAAUAGCGGCCCGACUUUGAAGAUCGUUUGUCUCCGACGGAAGAUGCUGAAGAGGUGAUGUGUGACGAGCCGCGCUGCAGACGUGCGACUCCAGCAGAUGCGUCGCCGUGCGCAGCAUCCUCCCGGUGACACAGUUUUCUGCCGGCUCUCGCGCUGUGACUCCGUGACUCCUGCGCUAAUGAUGUAUGGCGGAAGCUUGAGCCAGGCCAGGUUGUCUAGUCAGGCGAAGCUAUUUCUGCGUUGGGCUGAGUGAAAGCGCAAGGCACAAUCGGCUCGAGAAACAUUUUUCAUGAAUAUUUUUAAGCUUUGGUCUUUUUUGGACACGCCGAAAGGCGGCUGAACAACAAGCACAUGACAACAUGCGUUAUCAGCAGCUGAUUUUAGCAGCUGGAUGGAGAAAAAGUUAAAGAAUUUGCAACUCUCGUGAAAAAGGUCUUGAGAUAGAUAGUGCCGUGCGCCUCAGCCUAGUUGAGUUACAAACUGAAACACCUGUAAUUGUUAUCAGAGAGGAAACAAUCUGAGUAAACACUCGGGGGCGACUGAGAAAUGGAAAUGUCACUCCUGCGUGGGCCGAUGUCUGAUCACAAACAAACAAUAGGCAUCCCAAGCAUUCCUCCGUCCUAUCACCGACCUCCAUCCCGCGAGGAACAAGGUCAAUAGAAGCGCUGCAAAUGGGAUGGUGAUCCCAAAAUAACAGCCCCCAGCCCCAGCAGCCCCCCCCCCCCCCACACACACACACACACACGUCCACCUCCACCUCCUUCUCUCUUAAACAACACAAUCACACAAUCAAAGCGCGACUGCCUUUCUCUCAUUGUUUAAUUUCUGCUGGCUAUCUUAGAUAUCUCUGCAGCUGUUCUUAUCUUUGACCUUCAGCUUGUUGCUUUGUCGUUCCACCCCCCCCCAUCCUCCACCCACCUACCUGCCCCCACCCACCCACCCCCCACGCCAGCGUGCUGCGACCUUCAGAGGGGUGUCAUUACUCCCUGACCCAUUUGACGAUCCCCUCAUGUGGAAUGUGCAUAUGCCGAAUCGCUGCGGAUCUGCACAGUAUGGGGUGAGGUGAAGUACUUACAGAAAUAUGACUUGACACGCUUUAUCAAAUGGGGAAAGAUGAAGACGAAACAGCUGCUGGUGCUGUCGUAAGCAAUCUGGCCGUGAUUGAAUAAAAGUGUCAAGAAAAGGGCCGCUUGAUGGUCUUUUGUUCUCCCCCAUCCAGCUUGAUGUUAGUUUGAGCUGUCAGGAGGGAAUCACAGCUGGGUGAUUUAUCAAUACUUGGAGUGACCUUGCAGCCACACUCGGCUGUGUGUGCGCACGCGGGCGCUCAUAUCUGUGUGUGGCUCUCGUAGAUUAAAAAGACACAAAGUGGAAUAUUUUCAAAAUAGUUGGCACACAUAGACAAAGGCUUGGCUGGACUUGGAACGAAAUUCUCCCUUCUCUUAGACACAGUAAGUGGAUUGUUCUGCCAACACGAUAAGAGUAUUUUUCUCAGCAUCACAGCACUCAAAGUACCACCAGCGAAUGUUUGGGAAAAGUGCGCCUCUUUUAACUAACGCUGCUUUUGAACGGCUUUUCUUUAAGGCUCUUUGCUGCUUUUUUGUAACCUGUCCACAGCAUCUCCUCACCUCAGUACGUUUCCCUGAGACGUACGCGCGCAGCCUGUUUUCACGGCGCCCAUUGACUGUCUCUGUUGUGAUUAAGCAGAUGUUUUAUUGCAGACUGGAACAGUCAUUACUGCCAUAAACCCAUCUGUGGAAUUGCUUUUUAUGCAAAUUUACAAAGCAUCUGCAUAAAUAAAGUUCUAAUUAAUACCUUUCUGCAAACCUCGGCGCUCUUUGAUUCCUAAGUGUUCCUAAUUGUGUACAAGCAGGUAGAAAGUACAAAUCAAUGCCCACGACAUGAAAGGGUUUUGUUCCCCGUCUACACCAGUUGUGCUUCAGCCGAAGCCCAACUGUGAACAUAAACAAAUGUUGUUUUGCGAAUAUUUCCCAGCUUUAUAGAUUUUUGAAAGCACAUUGCUCAGCUGUUAUAUAAAGCACCGCUGUAUGUUUCAUAAAUGAUUAGACUUUGACGAACUAACAUGGUUAUUUAUUGGCAAAUCUUUGAUUAAGAAGCAGCUCAAAGCAAUUGGAAUCAAGCAGAACAUUGGUGUAAAGUUGCAGUGCAGCGUUUUUAGCUCUGGUUCCUGGUUACAGGGGAAAUAAAACAGAAUCUGCUGCUACUGGUUGAUUGGGAACUACUGAAGAGUAAAGUUUCCCUGAGAACAUUAAGGCUGCUUUAUAGAUCCCUUUGUUGUGAGGGUGCCAAUGGAAGCUCAUUAAUUUCCCCAGGUUUUUAAUGGGGAGUGUUGAACAUGUGGCAAGUGUUGUCUUGGUGGGACCCUUAUGAGUUGCACCUCUGCUGUUGAAAGGAUGCCAUGCUUUUUAAUUGUAAAGGUGCCCCCUUGGUUAAGUAAUGAAGUGAGUUUUAUUAUUUGGAGAACUGUACAAACCAAUUUAUUUAAGCAGCCUGAUGAUUUACUGCUUUUCUUAAUUCAUUUUUGUCACUUUUAAAAUGCCUUUUUUACGUCACUCAAUCCCUCUCACGGUUUAACUGAGCGCACACUCUUUUAUAACUGUGCGACAACCCAGUAAACAAUCAUUCUCCUGCUUGCAUUUAUCUCUGAGCACGAUCUCUGCAGCCCAGCGAGGCUUUACGGGCUUUGGAGGGAACCUGAACUUCUGUUAACUCUGACAUCAGAAGACAAAAAGACGUUUUAUGGAUGAAGAAAGACUUUUUAAAUGAUUAAAGGAAGCAUCUAAGCCGCGAGUGGGUAGAAGGUGCUGUAGUCAGCGAGGUCAGGGAACAGCAAGAAAGGCUUCAGAAACUAUUUGGGAAUAAAGGCGCUGUAUUCUGCAUGUGAUUCUUAUUUUGUGCUGAUUAAGGGCUGCGCGGCCGCCAAAGCAAACGGUGGCUCGUACGUCAUAAUGCUCCACUGCUGUGAAACCACAGGUCAUCUUAAGUUAAUUCACUAGGUGGCAGUGUCACAUUUUAAACCCAUUAGCACGUCAGUAACAAAGGGGGUCAAGCCAUCACACAGUGAUGAGUGAUUGAGCACUGAAGGGUUAGGCUUCGCUGAUUUGUGUCCAGUUAAAGUGAAAUGAAACCGAAGAAUUCAGAUCAAAAAUGGGAAAUUACUUUUAUGCAUCUUGUGGAAGCAGAAUUUAUAUUAUUUUAAUGUAAUUUCCACCAACUUGGUGAAAAGCCUGUAAUAUGGAAGAAUCUGCUUUAAAAGCAGCACCAACACUUUCCCUCUGGUACAGAUCACCAGCCCAGGUUGUCUUACUGUCUCUCAUCAGGUAGUGAGACCUAGCAACUUUUAGCAUAAUGAAUUUAGCAGGGAUGUCUUCUCCACACAGUCCAUCAGGCCUGCCAUCUAGGAGAUUAAAUUAUGUCUGUAAGCAUUAAAGCUUUGAUGUUGUAUUUGGGCGGCAUGCAUGCAUCCAUUUGCAAAAUUCUAUAUAACAAAAUUAAAAACAUGGACACCUAUGGAAAAUGGCUUGGCACUAGCACUUAAAUCCAACCACUCCAAACAGUCUGCUGACUAAUGCAUUUCUAAUCAUUUCUGUGAUCAAUGUUAGCUACUGUGCAAUAAGAUUAAUCAGCCAUAUGCAAAGCUAGGAUCACCUUGAACAAGACAAGAAGAAAGGAAGAAGCGCAGUUGAAAGGACUGAAAGGAAGCGUCUUAGGUAUUAUGUAUGGUAAGCACAGCAUACAGAAAUAAAGCACACCUGCAUUAUUCACGU